Molecule: transfer RNA, 73 nt
Organism: Apaloderma vittatum (bar-tailed trogon)
Lineage: Eukaryota; Metazoa; Chordata; Aves; Trogoniformes; Trogonidae
Rfam family: tRNA
About the family: Transfer RNA (tRNA) molecules are approximately 80 nucleotides in length. Their secondary structure includes four short double-helical elements and three loops (D, anti-codon, and T loops).
Source: Rfam
GGCUGGUUAGCUCAGUCAGUUAGAGCAUGGUGAUGAUAACACCAAGGUCGUGGGUUCGAUCCCGGUUCAGUCC